AAAAAAAGUCAAGUCUGAAGGUUUUAGAAGGGGAUUCAAAGCCUGCAAUAUUCCAAGUAUUAAUUAUCUUUUCCAUCCUCCUUCUCAAUAUAUCCCUCUACAGCCUUUCUCUCCAGCCAUCCAGCCUACUGACCAUCAAUUAUUCUAUGCCUUCAGGCCGACUCACCUGUUGAACUCAGCUUAAAAGGGCCAACAGCAUUAAGUGCUACAAAGAGAGCCCCUGCUGAGAGGGCCCCUCGGCUCCUCCCCAAGAUCCCGACAGGAAGGGGCUGCCUUUUGUCACAAUUUGACUGACUGUUCCAGGUCAAUUGAGGGUGAAUCCUCAAACCAGCAGGCUUUAAGGAGCACCUUAGGGUUCAGAGCAGACCUUUUUCUUUUUCUGCCGGUGUGUAGCAGAUCUCCUUCUGCAGCCUUGGCUGUGAUCUCUGCUCCUCUCCCUCUCUGCCUUGGCUAUCUGCCUGCUCUCCUGCUGUCCUCAUCUGUAGGAGCUGCACAGCUCAGCAAGAAACUGUUCUUACUGUUCCCAUCACAGCACUGGAAGAAAAAGAAUACUGAGAUAGUUGCCUAA
This 568-nucleotide long non-coding RNA is filed under the name Callithrix jacchus (white-tufted-ear marmoset). RNAcentral describes it as "lncRNA (ENSCJAG00000082091.1)". The record is from RNAcentral. Lineage: Eukaryota; Metazoa; Chordata; Mammalia; Primates; Cebidae.